AACGAACGCUGGCGGCAUGCCUAACACAUGCAAGUCGAACGAGACCUUCGGGUCUAGUGGCGCACGGGUGCGUAACGCGUGGGAAUCUGCCCUUGGGUUCGGAAUAACAGUUGGAAACGACUGCUAAUACCGGAUGAUGACGUAAGUCCAAAGAUUUAUCGCCCAGGGAUGAGCCCGCGUAGGAUUAGCUAGUUGGUGGGGUAAAGGCCUACCAAGGCGACGAUCCUUAGCUGGUCUGAGAGGAUGAUCAGCCACACUGGGACGGAGACACGGCCCAGACUCCUACGGGAGGCAGCAGUGGGGAAUAUUGGACAAUGGGCGAAAGCCUGAUCCAGCAAUGCCGCGUGAGUGAUGAAGGCCUUAGGGUUGUAAAGCUCUUUUACCCGGGAUGAUAAUGACAGUACCGGGAGAAUAAGCCCCGGCUAACUCCGUG
RNAcentral lists this ribosomal RNA (433 nucleotides) under uncultured bacterium. RNAcentral's name for it is "partial 16S ribosomal RNA". It matches the Rfam family "Bacterial small subunit ribosomal RNA", at positions 29 to 507 of the family's 1533-position model. The record is from RNAcentral.